AUUGAACGCUGGCGGCAGGCCUAACACAUGCAAGUCGAGCGGAUGAAGGGAGCUUGCUCCUGGAUUCAGCGGCGGACGGGUGAGUAAUGCCUAGGAAUCUGCCUGGUAGUGGGGGAUAACGUCCGGAAACGGGCGCUAAUACCGCAUACGUCCUGAGGGAGAAAGUGGGGGAUCUUCGGACCUCACGCUAUCAGAUGAGCCUAGGUCUGAUUAGCUAGUUGGUGGGGUAAAGGCCUACCAAGGCGACGAUCCGUAACUGGUCUGAGAGGAUGAUCAGUCACACUGGAACUGAGACACGGUCCAGACUCCUACGGGAGGCAGCAGUGGGGAAUAUUGGACGAUGGGCGAAAGCCUGAUCCAGCCAUGCCGCGUGUGUGAAGAAGGUCUUCGGAUUGUAAAGCACUUUAAGUUGGGAGGAAGGGCAGUAAGUUAAUACCUUGCUGUUUUGACGUUACCAACAGAAUAAGCACCGGCUAACUUCGUG
Molecule: ribosomal RNA, 484 nt
Filed under: uncultured bacterium
Lineage: Bacteria
Description: partial 16S ribosomal RNA
Rfam family: Bacterial small subunit ribosomal RNA
Source: RNAcentral